Molecule: long non-coding RNA, 1056 nt
Filed under: Macaca fascicularis (crab-eating macaque)
Lineage: Eukaryota; Metazoa; Chordata; Mammalia; Primates; Cercopithecidae
Description: lncRNA (ENSMFAG00000048379.1)
Source: RNAcentral
AUGAAAAGGGAAAAGGGGCAGGCCCCCGGCAGGGCUGGUGGGCAUGCCUGUCGCCUCCAGCCGCGCGGGGCGGGUGGGCGCCCUGCCCCGGAGGCCAGAAAUUCUACAGAGGGGCCCCCUGACCUCGCGGCCCCGGCCAGCCGGUCUCAGACCACAACAUCCCUUCCCCCUGGAGAUUCCGGGCACCAGGUGUUAACCCGAGCAGAGAAAGGGUGGGGUGGGGGUCAGACGCGGCGACUUUCUGGAAGAGGAAGCAAACACAAUCUAGGAUGUGUGUGUGUGUGCGUGUGUGUCUCAUGCGCGCGUGUGUCUUGCGCAGGGGCGUGCCCCCCCCGGGUGCCACUGGCCCCCCAUCAUUGCUUUGCCGGGAACGGUGGGGUGGGGGGAGGUUCCGAGGGGCGCCUCGAGGGUGAUCGAGCGACCCAACGUCCAAGGCCAGAGGUGGAGGGGAGGGCCUUGGACAGACAUCUUGGUGAGGCUCGAGGAAGGGCAGAGGGCAGGCGCGGUUCAGGCUCCCGCCGCGGCCCGGCAGGGGUUAAGGCUGAAGCCGGGCGAGGGCGAGGGCGGGGGUGCGGGGGGGAGGGGCAGAGGGAGGCGGAGGAGGGUCAGGCCCCGCGGCCCCGCGCUCGGCCCCGUCCCUCCCGCCGGCCCGUUCGCCGGGCGGCCGUCGCCGGGGCAACGAGCGCCCGCCCCAGCCCGCGGCGCGCCCCUGCCCCGCCCCCGCCCCGCCCGCCCGCGAAUGGAACGCUGUGUGUCAAACCGGCCGCAGCGCGAGGCCGGCGCGCGGGGUCGGCGGCGGUGGCGGCGGCGAGAGCGAGCUCGGGCUCAGGCGCAGGCCCAGGCCAGGCGGGAGCGGCCGCAGCGGGAGCGGCAGCUCCAGAGGCGCCGGCCCAGCGGCCCUGCAGGCCCGGAGCGGCAGCCGCGGGCGCCGGGGACCCAGGGGCGCGGCGACCGGCCCCGGCGCGCACCCGCCGCCCCUCCCCCCCGUCACUGGCGGCCGCGCAACUUGCGGCCAAACUUUCCCCGGCCUCCCGCGCUCGGAUGGCUGCCCGCUGA